UUGGUGGGGUUUAAUAAUAUAUAGAAAUAAAAAUUUAAUAAGGCAACAAUAUAUAAGGUAAUAAAAACUUUUGGGGGCGGCUUAGGCGACAAACCUAAAAUUUUUUUUGGACUUGAUUAGGUUGGCAUAUAUGCUUGGUGCUUAAAUUUUUUUUUUUUUUUUCCAUUUUUCAUGCAGUCCGUUUUUUACCAAAUAAUUUUUUUUUUUCUUUUCAUUUUUUUAUCCCAUAUUAUAUGUUGGAAAAACAUGUAUAAUCACUUGUAUACACGAAAAACAAAUUCCAGGGCCGGCCCAAGCAGUUGCCUUGGGCCUCAAAUUUUAGAGGGCCUCAAAUUUUGAGGCCCAUAGGGGAUGGGAAAAAAAAAAUUAAGUUAGGAUUAGUCUUGGUCGCCUUGGGCCUCAAAUUUUGAGGCCCAUAGGGGAUGAAAAAAUAAAAAAAUAAAUAAAAAAAAAAAAGUUAGGGCAAGUUUCAGACGACACAAUCUGCUUCGGCACUCAGCAGGGCGCAUCCUCCGCUAUCGCCUCAGGUGACAAGGCCGAGGGAGGAAGACGAUGGAGAUCGUAGAAAGAAGAGAAGAGUACUCAUCAUUCAUCAAGUCCCUACCCAAUGAUGUCAUCAUGGACAUACUCUCACGGCUACCUGUCAAGUCCCUUGUACGUUUCGAGUGUGUGUCAAAGUCUUGGAUAGCUUUGCUCAAUGAUCCAUAUUUUGCGAAGAUGCAACUAAAUCGAUCCUAUGAGUGCAACAAAAACAAAAACGAAAAACAGUUUGUUUUUUCCCGUGUCUCUGAAGAAAGGGCGACCAUCGUUGUAUUUUCAGGCGAAAUUGUUGACCCAAUGUGGCCGAGUGGAAAAGUUGAUUAUCCUCCACUUGAUUUUGUGUGCCGACGGGGCAGGUUCUUGGGUUGUUGUGACGGAUUGAUAUUAUAUUCAACUUAUUCCUACACUUCUGCAGAAAAGCAACUUCACCUGGUGAAUCCUUCAACUAGAAAAGUCAAAAGAUUACACCCACCAUUCAAAUGUGAACCAGGUGGUUCUUAUGGGUUUGGCUAUGAUGCGUUAACUGAUGACUAUAAGGUUGUGCACAUCCCAUACUAUGUUGGAAAAACAUGUAUAACCACUUUGUAUACAUGAAAAACAAAUUCCUGGAGGAGAAUACAAGACAUCCCUUACCAUGUUACGUGCUCUGCACCUGCAGCACUUCUGAAUGGUGCUCUCCAUUGGUUAAGUGAGGACAUGAGUAAGAUAGUUUCUCUUAAUUUAGCGGACGAAAAGUUUCAAGUUUUUAUUCUACCAGAAUUUGGAACACGAUAUAUAGAAGCUUACUUGGUUACGGUUGUCGGAGGAUGUCUUUGUGUGUGUGUCACUAUUAGGGGGGAGUGGAACUGCUCUUCUGAAUUUUGGGUGAUGAAGGAAUACGGCAAGAGAGAGUCUUGGACUAAUCUUGGCUUUGCCAUUCCAAAGUAUUAAGUGAAGCCUUUGGAUUUCUCAAACAAUGAUAAUCUUCUCUCUCUGGUAAAUCAUUCCUUGCUUGUAUCUAAUGUAGAGAGAAAUACACAUAAUUCUGUAAGAAUUUGCUAUGAUUUUCCUCAACUGAUCCAUAGCCUUGGUCUUCCUGAAUCAUAUUAUGUUAAAGAUUCAGAGAAUUUUAUUACUUGUAUUAAAGUUGACGAUGCAGAGAAUUUUAUGGAAAGCAUUGUUUCACCAGUCAUCGUACCUUCGUAAUUUGGAGGCAAUAACAAGGACUGAAAAAGUGUGACAACAAGAGAUGUGAUGCAACAACAUGUUCAGUUCCAGAUUGGGGAUGGACAGCAUACAAUGUUAUUUAAGGAUCCUUGGUGUAAUGGUCAACUGUUCAGUGGUGUGUUUGGUCAUAGAGUGGUUCGGAGCUUACAGCUACACAGAGAUGCUACUGUCAGUUCUUUGAUUCAGAAUGGGGUUUGGGAUAAUCACAAUUUACGAAGUGAGAUUUUGACUCCAGUCAGAUUGUUUCUGCAGAAUGUAGUGAUCAAUGGGGUGGAGGAUAAGAUGAGGGACGUUUCUCAUUCAAAACAGCUUGGACUGGUAUUAGGAUAUCUGCUACUGAAGUACCUUGGCACAAAAUACGUUGGGGUAAGGCACGGCCCAGAUGGUCUGUUACAGCUGUGUUGGUUUUACUUGAUAGAUUGCCUUCUAUGGCGAAUUUGCAGAGAAGAAAAGUUGUUAUAGCAGCAAGGUGCACACUUUGCCAACAGAAUAUUGAUACUACUGACCACAUUUUUGUCUCCUGUCCAUUUUCACAGGGGGUUUGGAGGUGGUUAGGGGGUGUUUUAGGGUGGGAGCUGCAGCAGUUGCAGGAUCUUACCUCAUCUCUUCAUUUGGUUGGAUAAUCAGAAUUCCAAAAGACUUCAAAGUCUUUUUGCUGCUGGGGUAUGGUAUAUUUGGAGAGAAAGGAAUAAUAGACUCCAUGGUUCUAAUAGUUUUACUUCUGGAGGUAGUGGCUAGAUCUGCCUUCAUGGAAGUUUGUGUUAUCAAAAAUAUACAAUUCAAAUAUGAAAUAUCAACUCUAGUCUUGUCUGAUUGCUUAGAGUUGAGUUUGGUUUUUUGUUUUUGUACCGGAAAUGGCUUUUUCAUUAGGCCUUGUUUUUAGUAUUGUUUUUGUUUUCCUUUUCCUUUUCUGAGGGUGUGCUCCUGUAUUCAUGUUAAUUUUUUGAGCUCAAUACAACACCAAUUAAAGAUAUAAGAAGGCUAUAACUUAGAUA
This is a long non-coding RNA of Cornus florida, 2741 nucleotides long. RefSeq lists it as uncharacterized. The record is from RefSeq and is a predicted model, not a curated record. NCBI's taxonomy places the organism in Eukaryota, Viridiplantae, Streptophyta, Magnoliopsida, Cornales, Cornaceae. The transcript is spliced from 2 exons.